RNAcentral lists this ribosomal RNA (492 nucleotides) under uncultured bacterium. RNAcentral describes it as "partial 16S ribosomal RNA". It matches the Rfam family "Bacterial small subunit ribosomal RNA", at positions 29 to 507 of the family's 1533-position model. The record is from RNAcentral.
AGUGAACGCUGGCGGUAGGCCUAACACAUGCAAGUCGAACGGCAGCACAGUAAGAGCUUGCUCUUACGGGUGGCGAGUGGCGGACGGGUGAGGCAUACAUCGGAAUCUACUUUUUCGUGGGGGAUAACGUAGGGAAACUUACGCUAAUACCGCAUACGACCUACGGGUGAAAGCAGGGGAUCUUCGGACCUUUCGCGAUUGAAUGAGCCGAUGUCGGAUUAGCUAGUUGGCGGGGUAAAGGCCCACCAAGGCGACGAUCCGUAGCUGGUCUGAGAGGAUGAUCGGCCACACUGGAACUGAGACACGGUCCAGACUCCUACGGGAGGCAGCAGUGGGGAAUAUUGGACAAUGGGCGCAAGCCUGAUCCAGCCAUACCGCGUGAGUGAAGAAGGCCUUCGGAUUGUAAAGCCCUGUUGUUGGGGAAGAAAAGCAGCAGGUGAAUACCCCGCUGUUCUGACGGUACCCAAAGAAUAAGCACCGGCUAACUUCGUG